AGUGUAGCUCAGGACGCCCAGGUGACAGGUUGAGUGAUGCACUUUGGAGCAGCGAUUCUUCUUGCACUUUGUGAAAGAGCUUUUGCCAGUCAGCCUUGUCUGCAGUGACAGGAGACAGAGACACUCCUUGCUGGUUCUUUCUCAGCCUUCCUCUUGCUCUGUAUAUCCAGACCUCUUCCACAUCUUACUCUAUGGUCACUGCCCAGACUUCACUUGUGUGGUCAACAGAGCUGGAAAUCUUCCUUUCAAGCGUGCUCAUCUGAAACAGAUUUAAAGUAUUUGAACACCCUCCAGAUCCUUCAAAAUACCCCCUGAAGAUCAUCUUAAUUGUGUCUUCUGCAUGGGCAGCCACUGAACUCUUUGAGGACUUCACGGUGAAGAGUGUAAUCUCAAGUUCAGGAAGUUGCCUAACAGAGUCC
This 419-nucleotide long non-coding RNA is filed under the name Gallus gallus (chicken). Lineage: Eukaryota; Metazoa; Chordata; Aves; Galliformes; Phasianidae. The record is from RNAcentral.